RNAcentral lists this unclassified non-coding RNA (223 nucleotides) under Hevea brasiliensis (rubber tree). The record is from RNAcentral. Lineage: Eukaryota; Viridiplantae; Streptophyta; Magnoliopsida; Malpighiales; Euphorbiaceae.
AGGGCAGACAUAUGAACGAAAGGCAAUUCAAGAAUGGCUUGAUAGAGGAAAUUCAACAUGCCCAAUUACUCGCCAGAAGUUGCAUAGCACCCAACUGCCUAAGACAAACUAUGUGCUCAAAAGGCUUGUUGCAAGUUGGCAGGAACAGAAUCCUAAUUUCAUAUCAAACCAAUCUGAAACUCCACAUCAGAAGACUGAACCGAGCUUUAAGUCAACAAUAAUG